GUAGGUGAACCUGCGGAAGGAUCAUUAAAAGUUGUGCGAGGCGGUCCCUGGCACUGCCAGGUGGCUGCUUAGACAUCAACACCCUCUGUAUAUCUACUGCGUUGCUUUGGCGGGACGGCAGCCAGCAGCCCUGCUGGGAAGCUGUCCGCAGGGCCUCUCAAGACCCUGCGAGCGCCCGCCGGAGAACCAUCAAACUCAUGUUAAACCGUGAUGUCUGAGCUUUACAAGCAAUAAGUUAAAACUUUCAACA
This 250-nucleotide unclassified non-coding RNA is filed under the name plant metagenome. RNAcentral's name for it is "partial contains small subunit ribosomal RNA, internal transcribed spacer 1, and 5.8S ribosomal RNA". The record is from RNAcentral.